This 253-nucleotide ribosomal RNA is filed under the name uncultured bacterium. RNAcentral's name for it is "partial 16S ribosomal RNA". It matches the Rfam family "Bacterial small subunit ribosomal RNA", at positions 524 to 776 of the family's 1533-position model. The record is from RNAcentral.
GACAGAGGGUGCAAGCGUUGUCCGGAAUUAUUGGGCGUAAAGAGCUCGUAGGCGGUUUGUUGCGUCGGCUGUGAAAUCCCGAGGCUCAACCUCGGGUCUGCAGUCGAUACGAGCAAACUAGAGUGUUGCAGGGGAGACUGGAAUUCCUGGUGUAGCGGUGAAAUGCGCAGAUAUCAGGAGGAACACCGGUGGCGAAGGCGGGUCUCUGGGCAACAACUGACGCUGAGGAGCGAAAGCGUGGGGAGCGAACAGG